GGAGGGUGCAAGCGUUGUUCGGAAUUAUUGGGCGUAAAGAGCGUGUAGGCGGUUCGGUAAGUCAGAUGUGAAAGCCCUGGGCUCAACCCAGGAAGUGCAUUUGAAACUACCAGACUUGAAUACGGGAGAGGAGGGGGGAAUUCCCGGUGUAGAGGUGAAAUUCGUAGAUAUCGGGAGGAAUACCAGUGGCGAAGGCGCCCUCUGGACCGAUACUGACGCUGAGACGCGAAAGCGUGGGGAGCAAACAGGAUUAGAUACCCUGGUAGUCCACGCCGUAAACGAUGAGCACUAGGUGUAGCGGGUAUUGACCCCCCUGCUGUGCCCGUAGCUAACGCAUUAAGUGCUCCGCCUGGGGGACUACGGUCGCAAGACUA
Molecule: ribosomal RNA, 374 nt
Filed under: uncultured organism
Description: partial 16S ribosomal RNA
Rfam family: Bacterial small subunit ribosomal RNA
Source: RNAcentral